This 497-nucleotide ribosomal RNA is filed under the name uncultured bacterium. RNAcentral describes it as "partial 16S ribosomal RNA". It matches the Rfam family "Bacterial small subunit ribosomal RNA", at positions 28 to 508 of the family's 1533-position model. The record is from RNAcentral.
GAUGAACGCUGGCGGCGUGCCUAAUACAUGCAAGUCGAGCGAACAGACGAGGAGCUUGCUCCUCUGACGUUAGCGGCGGACGGGUGAGUAACACGUGGAUAACCUACCUAUAAGACUGGGAUAACUUCGGGAAACCGGAGCUAAUACCGGAUAAUAUAUUGAACCGCAUGGUUCAAUAGUGAAAGACGGUUUUGCUGUCACUUAUAGAUGGAUCCGCGCCGCAUUAGCUAGUUGGUAAGGUAACGGCUUACCAAGGCAACGAUGCGUAGCCGACCUGAGAGGGUGGGAGCCCACAGGAGAAUGAAAACCGGCCCAAGCCCCCGCGGGGAGGCGCAAGGAGGGAUUCUCCCGAAAGGGGCAAAGGCCGGAGGAACCAACGCGGGGGGAGUAAGAAAGUUGUCGGAACCUAAAAACUUUUUUAUGGGGGAAAAAAAAAUGUGAAAGAAACUUGGCCCUUUUGGACGGACCUUAAUAAGAAGCCCCCGAAAACCUAGGUC